UUUUUUUACAGAAAGGGUUUUGUAAUAUUUGGGGGUGCCAAAAUGAUUUUUGUAAAAUAUGUGACUGUCCACAUAAAUACAAUGCAAUGUUUGACACAGCCACAAAAAGUUUGGAAGAAGUCUGAAAUAGAUGGAAUUUGCAAAAACAUGGAAAAGCAAUUAAUUUGCUGAGUUGGCACUGUUUUAAUUUGCUAUAGUCCAUCUUAGCUUGGAGGUGAUGUUGUUUUCCUUAACAAUCAUUUGUUAUGGAAUUUUUGACAAAUGAUGAACAUUUUGCCAGCAACUUUUGAUCAACUUCAAACUUCACUUGAAUUUGAAUUGACUGGAAUUUCAAAUGGGAUAUUGAACAAAGGUGAUUAAACACUGUUUGGAAAAAUGAUUAGCUUAAUCAUAGAGGCUUACUGUAGCAUGACAAUGGCGGUGUUACAAAUCUCCUCCACUAGAAGAAAUCUCGUCCCGAGAUUUAAGAGGUGGAGUAAGGGAAAAGACUCGGGAAGGACGGAGCUCAACACAAGAAAGGUACGCGGGGACUAUCUCAGUGAACGUGGCAUAGAGGCAUCUCUCAAGUUGAAAUUCAAGAAAGUUAUAGAGAGCAAGGUGAGGUGCAAUAAGGAGCUUCAACCUAGUAGACAAUCAUUUGUUGCCUGAAACAAGGGAUGAAAGGGGUUCAGAGCAAUGGUAAUAAGUAUUGCGUCUGAUACCAGAAUAGAUCGCCUCUCGGAAGGCGGCUCGGGAUUUUCAUAUGAAGCUAAGCGUGAGAAAUAACCUUAGAAGGAAGGGUGUAUAGGAGAGCCAGGUUUCGAUCUUGUGGAACUGUGGGUUAUGGGCCCACCAUGUGGGUUAAAAGCAGGAAGGCGCUAACAUUUUGAAUGAUCAUGAUAGCAAGGCAGGUCAGAUGAUAGACUGUCAGUUAUGUCGGCAACAACGCUGGUACCAAGGGCGAGGGACGAAGAGAACCAUUUUCCUGCUCGUUGAAUGAGGCGGACCAAUCGGCAAGGUUCUCGUCCAUCGGUGGUUACUGGAAUGUCAUCAACAAUAGUAACAGGGUCUCACUGACAAGGUUGUACAUCGGGGGUAUUUUAUAAGCAGGGAAUUAUUUCUGCUUAUAUCAUAUAGAUCACAAAAAGGUUAAACAACCUAAUGGAAAGGAAAAAGAAAUUAUCAGAUUAAUCAGACCAAUGGAGAGGAAAAUGUGUUUACACACAAGAAUUGGGAGUAUAUCCUUCCCAAGGGGAAGCGGAGCAGGAUAUACAUGAUAUGACAACAAGUUCAAAAGCAUUUAGAUAAAGGGGGCGAGGGAAGAAUCAUGAUAUUACCCAUACAACGGUGUUUGGAUAAUAGAUCAAGAAACAUUCGACAAUGUCCUUCCAAUGUUCUUGUUGAUAGUCGGAAUACCUCAGGCAUGCUUCGAGGUAGCAUUAACAUGGUGUUCCAAGUAGGGGUUGGAGUAGAAGAUCACAAGAAAUACUCAAGGAACAAUUGCAGCAAUAGCAAGGAGUCCAAGGUAUAAUCCAAGACAUGAUCAAACAUGUGUUGGAAAGAAGACAAGGGGGUUGUCGAUGAUAACUCAAAUCAUCGAAGGUCAAGGAUGGUAUUUCUCACCAUGAAUUCAAUUGUCAUCUCAACAGAAGUCAAAAUGUUGAUGCUGAUCACGACACAUUUGUCGAGAGGCUCUACGAAGAUGCCAUCGAGGAGCGUGACAUCAAGCAACAGGAAGGAUGAAGCGAAAGGCUAUUGGAACCACGGAUACGACACAAACUCGAAAGCAAGCUUGCUGUUCAUGGAAAAAUGGUAUGACAAGGAAGAUCGGCAUAAGCUUAGCUCGUCGUCGAAAAUUGUGCUCCGGAAAGGACCUGGUAGCAUAGUUAAAAUUUAGCAUGAUAAUGAUAUAACCGAUCAAGCUAGGAAUGAUGUGAUGGAGUAUCAUUCCAAUGAGAAUUUACAAGAGGUAGUGCAAUGACACAGUAUCCUCGAGAUAACAAGGGGCGAUACUCGAGGUAGAUCAAAAAUAGAGGUUGGACAGAUGAAAUGAUCUGCAGAAGACAAGUAUUUUAACUUGUCCGGGAAAUGAAAUUAAGGAGAAACUAUGGUCGGAACCACGGUUAUGAAUGAUCAAACCACUGAUACAAGAUGAACUUAUAACAAGGGGGUAAUCAUUUUUACGAGCAGCUUCCACGAUAAGUUCUACAUCGGGUCCAUGGGCAUGAACACAGAGGUUCAAGGUCGACUCCCACUUAUUCAAUGCAUAACCUUUCAUUCACUCCUCGUUUUCGAAGAAAUUGUAGUGCAGAAGAUUUAUCUGGCGAAGUACCAGAAGAGUAAGACUCACAUCUCUUUUGAGUUCACGCGGAUUAGGGAAGGCAUAGGUUCAACCCGUAGGGGUAUCUUAGGAACACCUACCACUAACUUCCAGAGCAUAUAACAUCAGCUCAAUAGCAGAGCAUAUGGUUGACAAUAAGAGAGGAUACAAUUUACCGAAGGCAAUAUGUAUCAGGGGAAGAGCGCACGAGAUUUUGAAUAUGGAGGACAUUGCUGGAUAAUAAUCCAACAAAGGAUGCAGCGGUCCUCAAUGGAUCUGAUGUGAGUAUCAGUACUCAAUCAGAAGAGGGAAAGAAUGCAAAGGCAUCAGAUUAUAGAAACAGCUGAAUAAUUCGACAUUCAAGUUGAAGGGAACUAGGUGGACAAUCAUUACAACAUGAUUGGCCGAGAUCCAACUCAUGUCUAGAAUGACGUAUGAGCCGGAAGGUCAAAUUUCAGGGUUCGACUGAUUAUUGCGAGCAAUCGCAACAUAAAGAAUCAAUAGCCUCAGGAUGACAAGGACAAAGGAUGUUAAUGAAUAUUGCUAGACAUAUGGAUUUAACCAUAAUGCAUGCAGACAAGACUUUCGGGAGCACUAGGCUACAGAGGAUCUUUGGGAGAUCGGAUUGCAUUCGAAGAAUUUUGUGAGACAUAAGAUCAACUUGGGAUGAACGAAUCCACGAUAAGUUUGAGGAAUUUUUUGUAGGGUUAUUCAGGAGGAAAAGAGCUGCAAGGCAGUCGAAAAAAGGAUUCUCGAAAGUCAGAGAAUACUUUCGGGUAUCUUGUAAUAACAAGAGCAACAGGGAAUGACUGUAUGAAUGGCAAGUGUACGUAGUUAUCCAUAAGGAUAUAUCGGUGCUAGGGAAUUGCAAAAGCGACGGGCACAAAAUCUCAAGAGAACAUCAUAGAGUAACUUCGGAAUCUUCUGGUGCAGCAGGCGAUCAUCUAUAAUAAGGGGCUCUCCGGGAGGAAGUAGUUACGAGAUCCUAAUGUUAGAGUUAGCAAAAUCGCUUAACCCGAAAGGAAGACAGAUCAGAGUCCCAGAGUAUAGACGAGGAAUAAAAGAUCCUAAUACCACCCAAUUGGCGACGUGGGCCCGUAAGCCACACAGCCAAGUUAGCAAAACAGUUUUCGGUUUCUAGACUCAACUUUGGCCAAGAAGUUGGAAAGGGGGAUCCUACAGGCAGUCGGCUCUGGUACCAACUUGUGACGCCCUCAAUUCAAUCGUACACUAAUCAUACACGCAAAUGUGUACGAUCAAAAUCAAGGACUCACAGGAAGAUAUCACAACACAACUCUAGACACAAAUUAAAAUAAUACAAGCUUUAUAUUACAAGCCAGGGGCCUCGAGGGCUCGAAUACAUAAGCUUGAAUACUCAAGAGUCAGCGGAAGCAACAAUAUCUGAGUACAGACAUGAGUUAGACAAGUUUGCCUUAAGAAGGCUAGCACAAAAGCAACAUCGAUCGAAAAGGCAAGGCCUCCUGCCUGGGAGCCUCCUAACCACUCCUCGUCGUAGGCGGCCUCCACGUAGUAGUAAGCAUCGGCGGUAGCAUCUGGCUCCUGGGAUCCGACAUCUGGUUGCAUCAACCAGAAAGAAGAAGAAAGGGGGAAAAGGGGGAGCAAAGCAACUGUGAGUACUCAUCCAAAGUACUCGCAAGCAAGGAUCUACACUACAUAUGCAUCGGUAUCAAUGAAAAGGGUUGUAUCUGUGGACUGGACUGCAGAAUGCCAGAAGAGAAGGGGAAAGCCUAGCCUAUCGAAGACUAGCAUCUUCUGGAAACCACCAUCUUGCAGCAACAGGAGGGAGUAGAGUAGCAUAAAGUAAAGUAGUAGAAGUGUUAUCAACCUCGGCCAGAGAUCCUUUCUCGACUCCCUGCGAGAAAGCAAUCCUAGAGCCAUACUAUCCAUUUUUCAUAUCCAUGUCUCAUCUCAAGUAUCCAGUUCUAGUUGUAUCGAUCGGGAUACAACUCCAAGUGUCCGUUACCGUAGGACAGGCUAUCGAUAGAUGUUUUCUUCCCUGCAGGGGUGCAUCAACUUACCCACCACGCUCGAUUAACUCCGGCCGGACACACUUUCCUGGGUCAUGCCCGGCCUCGGUCAAACAAUACGCCGCAACCCGACCUAGGCUUAAUAGAGAGGUCAGCACGCCGGACUAAACCUAUGCGCCCAGGGGUCAUGGGCAUCGCCUCGGGAACUCCUGCAUGUUGCGUACGCGGCCGGUGAGCAGACCUAGCUACCUCCUUUAAAAAGGCAGGAGCUUACCAGUCCAACCCGGCGCGCGCCGCUCAGUCGUUGACGUCUAUUAAGCUUCAGUUGAUGCAUACGACGCAGAACACCCAUACUAUACCCACGUGAUGGUUAGUGCUAUCAGGACAGAGGCCCCUCGGAUCAAAUGUCCAAAUCGUAGUGGAUUAGGAGCACGCGGUAACAAGCAGAGACUCACGAAAGAUGUGACCCCGUUGCCCCAUCUCAAGGACUUGCGACAAUCGCUAGGAAUGCCCGGCCACGCCUCGUAAUUAUCUCGCGGGCACCCUCCAGGUCAACCCGACUCCACAUCACUCGCAAUUAAGCUCGCGCGGGUACCCCUCGGAGCCCACCCGUCUUUAGUAACAUGGUUCAGUGUAAAGUCAUAGUAACCAUAGUAACUGUGUGUCUAACACCAAGGGGAAAACCUGAGGAAUCACCCUUGACGGAUUCCACUUGAUGUAAUCAUCAAGGUGAACGUAAGAGGAACCACCCUCGAAGUUCACACUUGAGGGGUUGCACGACAGAUUCGUAUCGAAAGUGGUUAAGGCGGAAUCACCCUCGAUGACCACGACCGAAUAGCUACACUACAGGGUAACAUCAGAAGUGCUGAUGAGGUCUCACCCCCGGCACUCGAUAGUAACCCAGUAGUCUCGAGCAACUAAGGGGAAAGUGAUGUGCGGUGUCGGGGCCUGGUCUUCGAUCCCGUUGAUCGGGUCUUCGAUGAUGAAGCAGGGGCAACAAGGACAAGGUGGGGGUCACUGAUGGAUCACUAACCAACCUAUACUAAGCAGUUUAGGACAAGCAGGUAGGUAACAAAGAGCAGGUUACAAAAGCAGGCUAUGCAUCAGAAUAGGAGCAAACAAUAACAGUAGCAAAAUCUAAUGCAAGCAUGAGAGAAUGGAAUGGGCGAUAUCGGGAUGAUCAAAGGGGGGGCUUGCCUGGUUGCUCUGGCAAGGAGGGGUCGUCGUCGACGUAGUCGAUCACAGGGGCGGCACCGGUCUCGGGGUCUAUCGGAGAGAAGAAGGGGAAGAAACAAUAAAUAUAAAGCAAGCAUAGCAUCACAAAGCAUAACAUGGCGUUAUGCUGUGCCGGGUGUGACCUAACGUAUGGCUACACGAUAAAGGUGGAGGGGGAAUUCAACCGGGAAUGUAUUCCCGGUUCCGGACCUGUGUCAGACAGAUGAACGGAGGGGGAAUGUUCCAUGUUCAGAUAGUUAGAGGCAUCUGACAGGUAAACGGACCGCGUAUCCGGAUUCGUUGGAUUUUUCUGAGCAACUUUCAUGUAGAAAACCUUUUCAUCCGAGGUACGGUUGAUUUUCUAUUAAUUUUCAAAGAUUAAAGCAUAUUCUGAAAUUAUUUAAAUUAACAGAAAAGGAAUUAUGACAUCAGCAUGACAUUAUUGUGACGUCAGCAGUCAACAGGACGGCUGACCAGGUCAAACUGACCAGUGGGGCCGCCGGGACCCACAUGUCAGCCUCUGUGGGAUAAUAGUGGAUUAAUUUGACUAACAAUAAUAGUUAGGGGUGUGGGUCCCAUUAGUCAGCGACUAAUUAGUGAUUAAAACUAAUUAACAGAUUAAUUAACAUUUUAUUUAUUUAUAAAACCUGUUUAAUUAGCGCGGGGCCCACAUGUCAGUGGCACUUGGGGCGGCCACGUCAGUGUUGACCCAAGUCAACAGGUCAAAGGGGACCCCUGGGCCCACCAGUCAGUGGCCCAGGUGGUGCCUCGUGGACGCCACGUCGGACACCGGCCGGAGACGCGCCGGAGUUGACUCCGACGAGCCAAACGCAGCGGCGCGGCUCGGGAGGGGCGCGGGUUUCGCGCACAGGGGGUCUGGGGGGUUGUGGCUGGGCGCGUUCGACGCGGCUCGGCACCGCGCGUCCAAUGGUGGUGGCCGGAGUGGCUGGAACGGACGGGGGCGAGCGCUUCGAGCUCGCCGGCGGCGAGGUGCUUCGGGCGAGCAACGGCAACGGUGGUAUGGCACGAGAUCGGGCAAUCCAGAGAGCGGGGUGAGGCCUACGUGCACGCGCGAGCAAAUGACCAAUAGGUCGCCGGAACGACGCCGGCGACGAGCUGCGCGGAGGCGCAUUCGGUCGGAGCACGGGGUCGGCGCUACGGGGCUCGACAGAGCGCGAGGGAGGGGUGCAACGAGCCCGCACGGACGUGCUGAGCACGAUCCCGAGCUCAUAUGAGCUCGACAGGCAGCAACGACACGACCACGCGCACGCCGACGGAAGCAGAGGCACGACAACGGCGACGAACUAGCUAGGGACGAAUGCGGCCGCGGGAAGAAGGAAUGGAGGGAGAGAGGAGCUCACCGAGCGGCCAAGAAAAGCCCUCGACGGAUUAGUAGCUGCAGGUUUCGCCGGAGACGACGAGGAUCAUCGGCGACAGAGGCGGAAGGGAGCAGAGAAGAACGCCCUCAGCGGGGCCUCCCAACUCCAGCUGAUGGUUGGAGACGAAGGAGCGGAGAACGGCGGAGGUCGUGGAGGCGUUGUUGAAGCUCGGUGUCGACGGUCGCCGUGGUGGUGCGAGAGAACGGCGACGACAGCGUCGGGCGACGUGGGGGAGAGAGGCCCGAGGGAGAGCGGAGUGGAUCUGGGAGGCGAGGAAGCAAGUGGGGAGGGAUGCUAGGGUUCGUCCGGGGCGGGGGCGACCUAGUAGGCACCGGGGAGCUGCCGGAUGGCUGCCCCGUGGCCAUCGGCGGCCACAGACGGCGCGCGCGCGUCCACCCAGCCCCUGGUGAACAGAGGUAGGGGACGGCAGGGUUAGGUGGGCUGGGCUGCACUGUUGCGCGGCUGGGCCAAGUGCACAAUGCAGCCUGGCCUUUUCUUUUCCCUUUUUUAUUUCUUUUUUUUUACAGAAAGGGUUUUGUAAUAUUUGGGGGUGCCAAAAUGAUUUUUGUAAAAUAUGGGAACUGUCCACAUAAAUACAAUGCAAUGUUUGACACAGCCACAAAAAGUUUGGAAGAAGUCUGAAAUAGAUGGAAUUUGCAAAAACAUGGAAAUGCAAUUAAUUUGCUGAGUUGGCACUGUUUUAAUUUGCUAUAGUCCAUCUUAGCUUGGAGAUGAUGUUGUUUUCCUUAACAAUCAUUUGUUAUGGAAUUUUUGAUAAAUGAUGAACAUUUUGCCAGCAACUUUUGAUUAACUUCAAACUUCACUUGAAUUUGAAUUGACCGGAAUUUCAAAUGGGAUAUUGAACAAAGGUGAUUAAACACUAUUUGGAAAAAUGAUUAGCUUAAUCACAGAGGGUUACUGUAGCAUGACACUGG
This 7816-nucleotide long non-coding RNA is filed under the name Triticum aestivum (bread wheat). RNAcentral describes it as "long non-coding RNA (TAES_LNC023943)". The record is from RNAcentral. Lineage: Eukaryota; Viridiplantae; Streptophyta; Magnoliopsida; Poales; Poaceae.